RNAcentral lists this ribosomal RNA (1143 nucleotides) under human gut metagenome. RNAcentral describes it as "bacterial SSU rRNA". It matches the Rfam family "Bacterial small subunit ribosomal RNA", at positions 282 to 1432 of the family's 1533-position model. The record is from RNAcentral.
AGGAUCUAGGCCUGAAGCUGUCCGGCCACUUGGGACUGAGAUACGGCCCAUACUCCUACGGGAGGCAGCAGUGGGGAAUAUUGCACAAUGGGCGCAAGCCUGAUGCAGCGACGCCGCGUGAGGGAUGGAGGCCUUCGGGUUGUAAACCUCUUUUAUCGGGGAGCAAGCGAGAGUGAGUUUACCCGUUGAAUAAGCACCGGCUAACUACGUGCCAGCAGCCGCGGUAAUACGUAGGGUGCAAGCGUUAUCCGGAAUUAUUGGGCGUAAAGGGCUCGUAGGCGGUUCGUCGCGUCCGGUGUGAAAGUCCAUCGCUUAACGGUGGAUCCGCGCCGGGUACGGGCGGGCUUGAGUGCGGUAGGGGAGACUGGAAUUCCCGGUGUAACGGUGGAAUGUGUAGAUAUCGGGAAGAACACCAAUGGCGAAGGCAGGUCUCUGGGCCGUUACUGACGCUGAGGAGCGAAAGCGUGGGGAGCGAACAGGAUUAGAUACCCUGGUAGUCCACGCCGUAAACGGUGGAUGCUGGAUGUGGGGCCCGUUCCACGGGUUCCGUGUCGGAGCUAACGCGUUAAGCAUCCCGCCUGGGGAGUACGGCCGCAAGGCUAAAACUCAAAGAAAUUGACGGGGGCCCGCACAAGCGGCGGAGCAUGCGGAUUAAUUCGAUGCAACGCGAAGAACCUUACCUGGGCUUGACAUGUUCCCGACGGUCGUAGAGAUACGGCUUCCCUUCGGGGCGGGUUCACAGGUGGUGCAUGGUCGUCGUCAGCUCGUGUCGUGAGAUGUUGGGUUAAGUCCCGCAACGAGCGCAACCCUCGCCCCGUGUUGCCAGCGGAUUAUGCCGGGAACUCACGGGGGACCGCCGGGGUUACUCGGGAGAGGGGUGGGGGAUGACGUCAGAUCAUCAUGCCCCUUUACGUCAGGGCUUCACGCAUGCUANCAUGGGCGGUACAANCGGAUGCGACGCGGCGAACNCGGAGCGGAUCCCNUGAAAACNGUCUCAGUUUCGGAUCGCAGUCUGCAACUCGACUGCGNUGAAAGGGCGAGUCGCUAGUAAUCGCGAAUCAGCACGGUCCCGGGGGAAUCGGUUCCCGGGCCUUGUACCACCGCCGUCCAGNUCAUGAAAGUGGGGCGGACCCCAAGCCGGGG